Molecule: ribosomal RNA, 448 nt
Filed under: uncultured Planctomycetota bacterium
Lineage: Bacteria; Pseudomonadati; Planctomycetota
Description: bacterial SSU rRNA
Rfam family: Bacterial small subunit ribosomal RNA
Source: RNAcentral
GCUUAGAGAGGGGUCAAUGUCCUAUCAGCUAGUUGGUAGGGUAAUGGCCUACCAAGGCUAAGACGGGUAGCCGGCCUGAGAGGGUGGUCGGCCACACUGGGACUGAGACACUGCCCAGACUCCUACGGGAGGCUGCAGUCGAGAAUCUUUCGCAAUGCCCGAAAGGGUGACGAAGCGACGCCGCGUGUGGGAAGAAGGCCUUCGGGUUGUAAACCACCGUCGGGAGUUAAGAAAUGCAAGGGUGUUAAUAGCAUCCUUGCUUGACUAAGGCUCCGGAGGAAGCCACGGCUAACUCUGUGCCAGCAGCCGCGGUAAUACAGAGGCGGCAAGCGUUGUUCGGAAUUAUUGGGCGUAAAGAGCACGUAGGCGGCUUUGUAAGUCAGUUGUGAAAGCCUUCUGCUCAACGGAAGAACAGCAUCUGAUACUGCAAGGCUAGAGUGCGGAAGGG